UCUUAGUUUGAAGUGGGGGGUUAGUGUGGACCAGCCCCAAGUCUCACAAGAAACCCCUUAGUGACCUAAACUGCCUGACUCCAGGCAUCAGGUUCCUAUUCCUGGAUCGCUAAGCAGAGAUAAGCAUCUUCCUGCUGCCCAGACUUAGGUGCCUAUCUCCAAGAGCGGAUCAGGGCUUAGCACACCCACCUCUUGUCAGCAUCCCCCAUUGGCUGGCUUAGGUGGCUUCCUGCCUAGGAUGCUGGGUUUUGUGGAUCACAUUUUUAGGCACCUAUCUCACCUCAUUCAUUAUAUGGAGAACCUAGUCGCCUAACUCGGCUUUGUGGAUUGCAGUGCUGUUCUUGUAAUUUUCUAGGUGCCAUGACACUCAGCAUUGCAACACCUUAGUCCUUUCAUGAAUCCUACCCUUUGUGCCCAUGCUUUGUUGAAUUGUGAUAUGAUUGUAGCUCUGUUGGUACAAUUUAAUCGCAUGGGUGCUUAUUUCUUUACUGCUGGGGUCAUUUACUGUUACCAGCAAAUGCAAAAGAUCAUCCUUAUAUGAUCACACUCCAUAGUUCAAGGAAGUAGUUUCAUCCAGUUAUACAGAAUGCCUUACCCAUUAAGCUUGCCUCUGGGUUGAUUCCCCUACUUCCAUAAUCAGGCCAUGUAAUGCUAUAAUUGACUUUAUUUAUACACUGUAAUAUUGUAGAUUGGCUUGUUAAUGGAGAUGAAAUGACCUUGUUUACAAGAUGACUCAGAGAAUCAGGCAAUGUGCACAGACAUUACAGGCUCAUACAGUAAAACAAAACAGGGUAGAAAGAUUUAAAUUCAGUCUGAGUGCAUUUUUAUUGCAGUCUGAGUAUCUUUCUGUUUUUGGAAAACAUUAACAUUAUUCCAGACCAAGUUGCUUCCUGAUUUCUAACACUAACUAAUGGGACCCUCUCACAGUUUUUCUACUUCAGGUUCUCGGUAGAGCAUUGCUGUAUAUUCAGGGUGAAAUCCUGGCCCUAACACACAGUCCAUGAGAAUUUUGCCAUUGACUUCAGUGGCACCAAGAUUUCACUCUCAAUCUAAGGCAAUGAUAGAGAAACUAGUAUGGGCCCUAUUUCUACUGUUGCUGUAAUUCAGUUAUUCAUGAAGUGCUUAUGCUUUAGGACUACAUUUCUACUGCAGUUAAUUUAGUUUAUUGUAAUGACUUCAUAGUUAAUAUUGAUUUAGUUUUAUUUUCUUACUUCAAGAAAUAGCAGGAAUUGGACUAUAUAAUAAGAAUUUAAUGUCAGCUUCUGGAAGGUUGAUUAGGACAGACUGAAUACAAGAUGUCAGUUAAAAUAACCAUCACAGUACUUUAAAAAAGGACAGGUCUUUCUAACCUGUUGCAGCAGAAGACAUCAAAAAAACUCUUAAGACUGUGUAUUUAUCAGACUUCAGCUUCUAAUUUCUUUGAGUACAGUGCCAAGACCCACUCCUCAUAACUCUCUUUUCUGUGGAUUAGGAGUUAGAAGCUUAGUGGAAAAGUUCUGAAUUGGGAAACAUGUCUGCAAAUGAGUCACCUCCUCUAAUGCAAUGCUACAGUGCUAAAAUGUUUUUGGUGCACCAUUAUUAACAUUAGGGUUCAUGCUCUGGGUGUCCUGCUGUUGACACUUCCGAAGUAAGCCCUGUGACCAUCUUCAGAGCUCACUGAGCGAACACUGAUAUUUUGGGAGCUCAGCGAUGGACCUGGAGACUCCUCUUCUUUGUGGAUCAAGAAAAAAGUGAUUGCUGGGAAGAAAGAGACCUUCUCUGCAUGUGGUCAGACUAGAUGGUCACAUUGGUCACCUCUGGCUUUAUAAUCUAUUAAUCUAGUGGUCAGGGUUGGGGCAUGGGCAGGCUGGCCUAGGGGUUAGUGUCAGGCAUGGGCUCAGGGUCCAGAAGCCAAUUACCAGGAAUGAGACUAAGUUGGAAUAUCAGGAGAUCAGAAUCGACAGUCAAUAUCCAGGAGGUCAGGAUCAGAAGGCAGGAACAGGUAAACACCAGACUAGCAGUCCAUGGCAGGAUGAGACCGUUGUACAGAAAACUUCCCGUUUCUUCCUCUGGCUUAAAUAGAGGCUGCAGCCCAUUAAGGAGUUUUGGAUCUCACCCAAUCAGAGUGUAGGGGCAAGUCUUGUGGUCUAGUUGGGCUUCAUGGACCUCAGUCCUAGGUGCUGUCUGUGAGCUGCUGGGUGGAGAAUUGGAAUGUGAUGACUCCCAGGACACCUAUGCACCCAGGUUUCAGACCUGCAGGGCCUGAUAUCACCCCCUCCCUCCAAGGAGUGCCCUCUGGGUGUUGUGGGUCUGGGCUUCUCAGGGUGGUUCUUCUUGAAGGCUUAUUGUAUUAGAGCAGGUGUAUGAAUGUAUUUCCCUGGCUCCCACAUAUGCUCCUCAGGACCAUAAUCUUCCCAUCAAUAAGGUGUAAAAGUUUACCCUGCUGGCAUUUAGAAUCCAAGAUCUCAUGUAUGACAUUCUUUGAGGCCUUAUACACACACUGUCAAGGGAGGUGGUUGGGUCCUGUGUGAAAAUGAGUUCUUGAUAUAGGGUUUCAGGAGGGAUAUGUGGAAUACCGUGUGAAUCUUGAGAGAUUGGGGUAGGUGUAGUUCAGUGGUGACCUGAUAAGCUUGAUGGAUUUCAUAAGGGCCAAGGUACUGGAAGUCCAACUUGCGCGAGGGGGUCUGUUGAUACAGAGGUGUUCUUUUGAGAGCCACACUUUUUAUACCACUGAAUAGGUGGGACCUGGUUGAUGAUAUUGGUCUGCAUGUCACUUGUAGUUAGCUUUCACUUUUUUUUUCACGGUGGCCCCUUACUUCCUGAAUUUGAUGAAUCAUCUGCACUAAAUCUGAAGUGAUGGAGUUAGGGGAGGUCAUAGGUAAUUGUGGGUAGAAUCAGGGGUGGAACCCAUAGUUGGCAGAGAAGGGUUUUUUUUUCCUGUGGAUGCGUGAUCUGUGUUAUUGUACACAAAUUCCACGUAGGGUAGUAGUGCGGAGCAAUCCUCUUGAUGGUAGUUAAUAUAACAUUGUAGGUAUUGCUUUAAAAUCUGAUUGAUCCUUUCCAUCUGGCCAUUAGACUGAGGAUAGUAGGUGGAGGAGUAGUGAGGCUGGACCCCCAGAAAAUGUAGGGCCUCACGCCAAACUCGAGCUGUAAAUUGUGACCUUGGGUGUCUCUUUGGUAGAAGGUAACCUGGUGCAGGGCACACAAUAGACCAUUGUGUUGAAGUGGUCUACCACUGUCAAGAUCAUCAUGAACCUGUUGGACUCAGGGAGCUCCACGAUAAUCUCCAAUGCCAUAGUGGCCCAGGGUCGGAAUGGAGUGUCUAGAGGUCAAACUUAUACUGCAGGGUUUGUGGCAUGACAUCUUGGCUCAAGCCACAUCACAGGAUGGUAUGAUGGCCCGUAUUUUGGGGCUUAUUUAAGGCCACCAGAAAAGACCAGGUAUCAAUUGCUGAGUUUCAAAGCAACCCACGUGUCCUGCCAGUUGAAGUCAUGUCAUAACUGUAAGGCUGCCACUCUAGCCUGACCUGGAGGAAUGUAAAUGCUAUUAUUCACAGACGUGAUCCCCUCCUGAGUGUUAUGUCAUUCCCUGUUGAUGGCAGCUAGUUCGCUGGACAGAAUUUCUGAGUUAGAGGCAGAACAAAUCAGUGCAACUAGGUCCUAGCAAGGAGCAGCAUUCAGGAAGUUGUGGGGCUCGAGGAUGUGGGCCAGUUCCCAGCUAGGUCCAUGUGGUUCAGUAUCAAAGCUCUUGGACAAAGCGUCAGCUUUGCUUUUCUAGUUCUGGGGCAACAUAUGAUAGUGAAGCUGAACUAUGAAAAGAAUAGAGCCCACCAGAGUUGCCGUUGAUUUAAUGUCUUUGCCUUUAGCACAUAUUCCAGGUUUCUGUGGUCAGCGAACAGUUGGACUGGAUGGUGAGCCCCUUCCUAAUAAUGUCACCACUCCUCAAAGGAUGUCUUAAUGGCUA
Molecule: long non-coding RNA, 3942 nt
Organism: Trachemys scripta elegans
Lineage: Eukaryota; Metazoa; Chordata; Testudines; Emydidae
Exons: 3
Source: RefSeq, a predicted model, not a curated record